Molecule: ribosomal RNA, 623 nt
Filed under: Listeria monocytogenes
Lineage: Bacteria; Bacillati; Bacillota; Bacilli; Caryophanales; Listeriaceae
Description: partial 23S ribosomal RNA
Rfam family: Bacterial large subunit ribosomal RNA
Source: RNAcentral
UUCUAAGGGCGGUGAAGUCAGACCGGAAGGACUGGUGGAGCGCUUAGAAGUGAGAAUGCCGGUAUGAGUAGCGAAAGAAGGGUGAGAAUCCCUUCCACCGAAUAUCUAAGGUUUCCUGAGGAAGGCUCGUCCGCUCAGGGUUAGUCGGGACCUAAGCCGAGGCCGAUAGGCGUAGGCGAUGGACAACAGGUAGAGAUUCCUGUACCAGUGCUAAUUGUUUAACCGAUGGGGUGACACAGAAGGAUAGGGAAUCGCACGAAUGGAAAUGUGCGUCCAAGCAGUGAGUGUGAGAAGUAGGCAAAUCCGCUUCUCGCGAAGCAUGAGCUGUGAUGGGGAAGGAAAUUAAGUACGGAAGUUCCUGAUUUCACGCUGUCAAGAAAAGCCUCUAGGAAGAGUAGUACUGCCCGUACCGCAAACCGACACAGGUAGAUGAGGAGAGAAUCCUAAGGUGAGCGAGAGAACUCUCGUUAAGGAACUCGGCAAAAUGACCCCGUAACUUCGGGAGAAGGGGUGCUCUAUUAGGGUGCAAGCCCGAGAGAGCCGCAGUGAAUAGGCCCAGGCGACUGUUUAGCAAAAACACAGGUCUCUGCAAAACCGUAAGGUGACGUAUAGGGGCUGACGCC